Long non-coding RNA from Salmo salar (Atlantic salmon), 1470 nucleotides. RefSeq lists it as uncharacterized. The record is from RefSeq and is a predicted model, not a curated record. NCBI's taxonomy places the organism in Eukaryota, Metazoa, Chordata, Actinopteri, Salmoniformes, Salmonidae.
ACUAAAAUAAAAAACUAAGUAACUCCGCCAGAGUGUCUCUUUUGGGUCACUUUUGCCAGUCCCAAGCCCGGAUAAAGCAGGAGGAUUGAAAUUGUGACAUAAAAAAAACAAGAAUCGACUGAAGAAAGUUCAUUUGUAGUUCUAAACAUAUUUAGGGUGUUUUUUACACACAUUUUGUCUUUCCCACGAUGUUAUUCCUCUCACCUACAGCGUCCAUCACAAUUGCAUGCACAUGGCCAAAUAUGCAAAUUAGGUAAUGACGUCAUUUAGCAACUUCUAGCAACUUUUAGGACAGCCAAUAGCUACUUUCCUUACUGAGGAGUUGGCAACACUGCUCUUUCAUCCCGCGAUUAUUGUGUUUUCAGCUACCGGUAGCUUGUGGGUGCUUUAUAUGCGCUACAGUCAAUUAUCAUUGCAUGUCUAAUUAUAUUAACUAUAUAAUUCUUAAUAUACGCCUACUGUAUGAUAGCUAGCAAAUUAAUUAGCUAACUAACGUUAGCCUGCCUAGAUGGAACUUCUGAAGAAGGAAAAUGUUUUAUUUCUACAAUUUCCAAAAGCUAACCAAACAAAAACAGAAUUACUUUUACGACACGUGUUUAUGCCAUCGUGUGCAUUAGUAGCACAAUUUCUAUCCUUUUUACAUUCGUUUUUACAUACACUUGUAUGUUGACUUCUCCAUUAUGGGGAGUUUCAGGCCCCAGGGUGAACAUAGUUGUACACUCGCAAACUCGACUGAACGAGGGCUGACGGGCUUACGUUGCAAACUUCCCUUGCUUGGCUAAUCAUUUGGACCGCCCGCCAAGAUGAUGACGGGAAUUCCCCAAGGGCAUAAGGCAAGGCACACCCUCUUGAGUUCUAUGAGGAGGUGGCUGAGACUCUGGACAAGAUUGCUCAGUGGUCUCACAGUAUGAAGAGACCCCAAAGGUCCAGCCACGACCCCUGCUACCACCCCGGUCAGUCCUCCCCCUGAAAGAAGAAAUGGUGUGCCAGCUCGUCCAGGUACUGUCUAUGGAAGGGGAAGCCAUCAACUACAAGGAAAGUAUCGUUCAGUUUGCUAGAGAUUUUGGAGUACGACUGACAACCCUACACCGUCAAGGCAGCUCGGGAAAUCCUCACUACUUCCUUUGAAUGGUGAACACAGGAAUACUGUAUGAACUCUAAUCUAGGACUAAGGCCUGGAGUUGUUUCCGAUCAGGUCAGGUAGAACUCAGGGCCCUUCCUAUGACCUCAGUCUCUCCUGUGAUGAGAGACGGAGAAGGCAUUAUCUUUUUAUAACACUACGACACGUGAAUUGUCACAAUUGUAUUUGUCUGAAAAUCAUGUGUACUUAUACAAUAAUUUUUUUAUCAAAGUUUUUCUAUAGACAUGUUUUACAAAGAACUGUACAGUGUAGUCAUCGGUUUGGUUUGGGUUUCAUUACUUGGUGUUAUGACUGCAGAUCAUAAUUAAAUAGCAUACUUUCAUAGUCCA